UGAGAUUAAAUCCACCAUUUAUCACACUUUUAAACAAAAUAACUCAAACCCUAAUUCAUUUUUCACAAAAAUAGCCGCACCCUCAUCUCCUUCUCUUCUUCCUCUUCAUCUCUUUCUCUCUAUCAACGACGACGGAACCCCAGCGCCGCCAACCGUCGAUGGAACCCCAGUGCCGCCAGCCGUCACUGCUCCAGCUUCCUCCGUUAAGACGCCGCCAACCGUCGCUGCUCUAGCCGGCAGCCAUCUUUACUAACGCCGACAACACCACCAGCCGGUGAAACAACCGUCCCCAGCCAGCCGGCAACCUCCGUUUAGAGGUAAACUCCAUUAACUCUGUUAAGAUUAACAUACAAACUAUCGAGAUAUUGAGCUAGUGCUGGUGCGAGGAGGGGGGCAAUGGAGUUGCUCUACUAUGUUGUGUUUGGUGCGAUGGCUGUUAUGGUGGCAGUUCUUGAGCUGGGUGGCAAGACUAACAAAGAUCGGAUAACAACUUCACAGGCUUUUAAUUCCUUUAAGAACAAUUACAUUCUUGUUUACUCUCUUAUGAUGGGUACGUAUGUUUCUCCUAUCAGAUCUGGGUUUUUUUACAUUUUGAAAUUCUGGUGUGUAUGUGCUCAAUCUGAUUAUUUGAGUGUGGGAUUUUAGAUCUGAUUAAUUGGGUAUUACAAGUUUGCUCUAUAUUAGUGGUCAGGUUGUGGUAUAAAUGAAAUCUAGCUUUAGAUCCUAACUCAUUUUAUGUUAUCUGAAUGCUGAAUAAGAUUCCAAGUGUUGAUAUGCAGCUCAAUUUGUUUAAUGGUCUUUAGAUCUAUCUGUGCACCACUAUAUGAGAAUACACUGGGUUUGUUGUUGUUGUUGCUGCUGUUGUAUUUCAUUUAGAGUUCUCCAAUACUAUCUGUAUUCCUUGUGCUGUAUCUUUCUAAAUUGUGGCAUCAAGACCAAAAUUUAGUUUCUUUACUUUACUAAAAGAUAAGGUUGAUCUUGCUUAAGGAUUUUAGAAUAUCUAUACCUUGAGUAUGAAUAAACUUGUACAAUGUGCUCAAAGUUCAGUUAUGUUGUAGACAUGCAGUAACUUGAAAAUGGAAUUGUGUAUCUUUUAAUUUGCUAAGCUCAUUAUUUUUGAAGGUGAUGUUGUUGGUUACUUUUGUUUAGAAGGUGAUGUUGUUGGUUACUUUAUUUGUUGAAAAUGCUUAAGUGCCGGUGACUUUAAUAGUGAAUUAGUGUUUAGAAGGCGAUGAUGUUGGUGACUUUAUUUGUUUAAAAUGCUUAAGUUUUGGUGACGUUAAUAGUGAAUUAGUUUUGUUGGUGCCUUUGUUAGUUGAAAAAGCUUAAGUUUUGAUGACUUUAAUAGUGAACUAGUAUUUAGGAGGUGAUGUUGUUGGUGACUUUAUUUGUUAAAAAUGUUUAAGUGCCGGUGACUUUAAUAAUGAACUUUUGUUUAGAAGGUGAUGUUGUUGGUUACUUUAUUUGUUGAAAAUGCUUAAGUGUCGGUGAAUUUAAUAGUGAACUUUUUUUGUUAGUGCCUUUGUUAGUUGAAAAAGCUUAAGUUUUGGUGACUUUAAUAUUGAACUAGUGUUUAGAAGGUGAUGUUGUUGGUGACUUUAUUUGUUGAAAAUGCUAAGUUUCGGUGACUUUAAUAGUGAAUUAGUGUUUAGGAGGUGAUGUGGUUGGUGACUUUAUUAGUUGAAAAUGCUUAAGUUUUGGUCACUUUAAAAAAUAACUUUUGUUUAGAAGGCGAUGUUGUUGGUUACUUUAUUUGUUAAAAAUGCUUAAGUGCCGGUCACUUUAAAAGUGAACUUUUAUUUAGAAGGGGAUGUUGUUGCUUACUUUAUUUGUUGAAAAUGCUUAAGUGCCGGUGACUUUAAUAGUGAAUUAAUUUCGUUGGUGCCUUUGUUAGUUGAAAAAGCUUAAGUUUUGGUGACUUUAAUAGAGAACUAGUGUUUAGAAGGUGAUGUUGUUGGUGACUUUAUUUGUUGAAAAUGCUUAAGUUUUGGUGACUUUAAUAGUGAAUUAGUUUCGUUGGUGCCUUUGUAAGUUGAAAAAACUUAAGUUUUGGUGACUUUAAUAGUGAACUAGUGUUUAGGAGGUGAUGUUGUUGGUGACUUUAUUUGUUGAAAAUGCUUAAGUGCCAGUGACUUUAAUAGUGAACUUUUUGUUUAGAAGGUGAAGCUGUUGGUUACUUUAUUUGUUGAAAAUGCUUAAGUGCCAGUGACUUUAAAAGUGAACUUUUGUUUAGAAGGUGAAGCUGUUGGUUACUUUAUUUGUUGAAAAUGCUUAAGGUUUGGUGACUUUAAAAGUGAACUUUUGUUUAGAAGGUGAAGCUGUUGGUUACUUUAUUUGUUGAAAAUGCUUAAGUUUUGGUGACUUUAAUAGUGAACUAGUGUUUAGAAGGUUAUAUUGUUGGUUACUUUAUUUGUUGAAAAUGCUUAAGUUAUGGUGACUUUAAUAGUGAGUUGGUGUUUAGGAGGUGAUGUGGUUGGUUAUUUUAUUAGUUGAAAAUGCUUAAGUUUUGGUGACUUUAAAAGUGAACUUUUGUUUAGAAGGUGAUAUUCUUGGUUACUUUAUUUGUUGAAAAUGCUUAAGUGCCGGUGACUUUAAUAGUGAAUUAGUGUUUAGGAGGUGAUGUGGUUGGUUAUUUUAUUAGUUGAAAAUGCUUAAGUUUUGGUGACUUUAAUAGUGAACUAGACUUUAGAAGGUGAUGUUGUUGGUGACUUUAUUUGUUGAAAAUGCUUAAGUGCCGGUGACUUUAAUAGUGAAUUAGUGUUUAGGAGGUGAUGUGGUUGGUUAUUUUAUUAGUUGAAAAUGCUUAAGUUUUGGUGACUUUAAUAGUGAACUAGACUUUAGAAGGUGAUGUUGUUGGUGACUUUAUUUGUUGAAAAUGCUUAAGUGCCGGUGACUUUAAUAGUGAAUUAGUGUUUAGGAGGUGAUGUGGUUGGUUAUUUUAUUAGUUGAAAAUGCUUAAGUUUUGGUGACUUUAAUAGUGAACUAGACUUUAGAAGGUGAUGUUGUUGGUGACUUUAUUUGUUGAAAAUGCUUAAGUGCCGGUGACUUUAAUAGUGAAUUAGUGUUUAGGAGGUGAUGUGGUUGGUUAUUUUAUUAGUUGAAAAUGCUUAAGUUUUGGUGACUUUAAUAGUGAACUAGACUUUAGAAGGUGAUGUUGUUGGUGACUUUAUUUGUUGAAAAUGCUUAAGUGCCGGUGACUUUAAUAGUGAAUUAGUGUUUAGGAGGUGAUGUGGUUGGUUAUUUUAUUAGUUGAAAAUGCUUAAGUUUUGGUGACUUUAAUAGUGAACUAGACUUUAGAAGGUGAUGUUGUUGGUGACUUUAUUUGUUGAAAAUGCUUAAGUGCCAGUGACUUUAAUAGUAAAUUAGUGUUUAGAAGGUGAUGUUGUAGGUGAUUUUAUUUGUUGAAAAUGCUUAAGUUUUGGUGACUUUAAUAGUGAAUUAGUUUCGUUGGUGCCUUUGUUUGGUGAAAAAGCUUAAGUUUUGGUGACUUUAUUAGUGAACUAGUGUUUAGGAAGUGAUGUUGUUGGUGACUUUUUUAGUUGAAAAUGUUUAAGUGCCGAUGACUUUAAUAGUGAACUUUGCUUUAGAAGGUGAUGUUGUUGGUUACUUUAUUUGUUGAAAAUGCUUAAGUGCAAGUGACUUUAAUAGUGAAUUAGUUUCGUUGGUGCCUUUGUAAGUUGAAAAAGUUUUAGUUUUGGUGACUUUAAUAGUGAACUAGUGUUUAGAAGGUGAUGUUGUUGGUGACUUUAUUUGCUGAAAAUGCUUAUGUGUUGGUGACUUUAAUAGUGAAUUAGUGUUUAGGAGGUGAUGGUGACUUUAAUAGUGAAUUAGUGUUUAGGAGGUGAUGUGGUUAGUGACUUUAUUAGUUGAAAAUGCUUAAGUUUUUGUGACUUUAAAAGUGAACUUUUGCUUAGAAGGUGAUGUUGUUGAUUACUUUAUUUGUUGAAAAUGCUUAAGUGCCGGUUACUUUAAUUGUGAAUUAGUUUCGUUGGUGCCUUUGUUCGUUGAAAAAGCUUAAGUUUUGGUGACUUUAAUAGUGAACUAGUGUUUAGAAGGUGCUAUUGUUGGUGACUUUAUUUGUUGAAAUUGCUUAAGUUUUGUGGACUUUAAAAGUGAACUUUUGUUUAGAAGGUGAUGUGGUUGAUGACUUUAUUAGUUGAAAAUGCUAAAGUUUUGGUGACUUUAAAAGUGAACUUUUGUUUAGAAGGUGAUGUGGUUGAUGACUUUAUUAGUUGAAAAUGCUAAAGUUUUGGUGACUUUAAAAGUGAACUUUUGUUUAGAAGGUGAUGUGGUUGAUGACUUUAUUAGUUGAAAAUGCUAAAGUUUUGGUGACUUUAAAAGUGAACUUUUGUUUAGAAGGUGAUGUGGUUGAUGACUUUAUUAGUUGAAAAUGCUAAAGUUUUGGUGACUUUAAAAGUGAACUUUUGUUUAGAAGGUGAUGUGGUUGAUGACUUUAUUAGUUGAAAAUGCUAAAGUUUUGGUGACUUUAAAAGUGAACUUUUGUUUAGAAGGUGAUGUGGUUGAUGACUUUAUUAGUUGAAAAUGCUAAAGUUUUGGUGACUUUAAAAGUGAACUUUUGUUUAGAAGGUGAUGUGGUUGAUGACUUUAUUAGUUGAAAAUGCUAAAGUUUUGGUGACUUUAAAAGUGAACUUUUGUUUAGAAGGUGAUGUUGUUGGUGACUUUAUUUGUUGAAAAUGCUUAAAUUUUGGUGACUUUAAUAGUGAAUGUUUUUAGGAGGUGAUGUGGUUGAUGACUUUAUUAGUUGAAAAUGCUAAAGUUUUGGUGACUUUAAAAGUGAAUUUUUGUUUAGAAGGUGAUGUUGUUGGUUACUUUGUUUGUUGAAAAUGCUUAAGUGCCGGUGACUUUAAUAGUGAACUUUUGUUUAGAAGGUGAUGUUGUUGGUUACUUAAUUUGUUGAAAAUGCUUAAGUGUUGGUGACUUUAAAAGUGAACUUUUGUUUAGAAGGUGAUGUUUUUGGUUACUUUAUUUGUUGAAAAUGCUUAAGUACCAGUGACUUUAAUAGUAAAUUAGUGUUUAGAAGCUGAUGUUGUAGGUGAUUUUAUUUGUUGAAAAUGCUUAAGUUUUGGUGGCUUUAAUAGUGAAUUAGUUUCGUUGUUGCCUUUGUUUGUUGAAAAAGCUUAAGUUUUGGUGACUUUAAUAGUGAACUAGUGUUUAGGAGGUGAUGUUGUUGGUNNNNNNNNNNNNNNNNNNNNNNNNNNNNNNNNNNNNNNNNNNNNNNNNNNNNNNNNNNNNNNNNNNNNNNNNNNNNNNNNNNNNNNNNNNNNNNNNNNNNNNNNNNNNNNNNNNNNNNNNNNNNNNNNNNNNNNNNNNNNNNNNNNNNNNNNNAAAAUGCUUAAGUGCCGGUGACUUUAAAAGUGAACUUUUGUUUAGAAGGUGAUGUUGUUGGUUACUUUAUUUGUUGAAAAUGCUUAAGUGCCGGUGACUUUAAAAGUGAACUUUUGUUUAGAAGGUGAUGUUGUUGGUUACUUUAUUUGUUGAAAAUGCUUAAGUGCAAGUGACUUUAAUAGGGAAUUAUUUUCGUUGGUGCCUUUGUAAGUUGAAAACGUUUUAGUUUUGGUGACUUUAAUAGUGAACUAGUGUUUAGAAGGUGAUGUUGUUGGUGACUUUAUUUGCUGAAAAUGCUUAUGUGUUGGUGACUUUAAUAGUGAAUUAGUGUUUAAGAGGUGAUGUGGUUAGUGACUUUAUUAGUUGAAAAUGCUUAAGUUUUGGUGACUUUAAAAGUGAACUUUUGUUGAGAAGGUGAUGUUGUUGAUUACUUUAUUUGUUGAAAAUUCUUGAGUGCCGGUUACUUUAAUUGUGAAUUAGUUUCGUUGGUGCCUUUGUUAGUUGAAAAAGCUUAAGUUUUGGUGACUUUAAUAGUGAACUAGUGUUUAGAAGGUGCUGUUGUUGGUGACUUUAUUUGUUCAAAAUGCUUAAGUUUUGGUGACUUUAAUAGUGAAUUAGUGUUUAGGAGGUGAUGUGGUUGGUGACUUUAUUAGUUGAAAAUGCUUAAGUUUUGGUGACUUUAAAAGUAAACUUUUGUUUAGAAGGUGAUGUUGUUGGUUACUUUAUUUGUUGAAAAUGCUUAAGUGCCGGUGACUUUAAAAGUGAACUUUUGUUUAGAAGAUGAUGUUGUUGGUUACUUUAUUUGUUGAAAAUGCUUAAGUGCCGGUGACUUUAAUAGUGAUUUUGUGUUUAGAAGGUGAUGUUGUUGGUUACUUUAUUUGUUGAAAAUGUUUAAGUUUUUGUGACUUUAAUUGCAAAUUAGUUUCGUUGGUGCCUUUGUUAGUUGAAGAAGCUUAAGUUUUGACGACUUUAAUAGUGAACUAGUGUUUAGGAGGUGAUGUUGUUGGUGACUUUAUUUGUUGAAAAUGCUUAAGUGCCGGUGACUUUAAUAGUGAACUUUUGUUAAGAAGGUGAUGUUGUUGAUUACUUUAUUUGUUGAAAAUGCUUUAGUGCCAGUGACUUUAAUAGUGAACUUUUUUCGUUGGUGCCUUUGUUAGUUGAAAAAUCUUAAAUUUUGGUGACUUUGAUAGUGAACUAGUGUUUAGAAGGUGAUGUUGUUGGUAACUUUAUUUGUUGAAAAUGCUUAAGGUUUGGUGACUUUAAUAGUGAAUUCGUGUUUAGGAUGUGAUGUGGUUGGUGACUUUAUUAGUUGAAAAUGCUUAAGUUUUGGUGACUUUAAAAGUGAACUUUUGUUUAGAAGGUGAUGUUGUUGGUUACUUUAUUUGUUGAAAAUGUUUAAGUGCCGGUGACUUUAAUGGUGAAUUAGUUUAGUUGGCGCCUUUAUUAGUUUAAACAGCUUAAGUUUUGGUGACUUUAAUAGUGAACUAGUGUUUAGAAGAUGAUGUUGUUGGUGACUAUAUUUGUUGAAAAGUCUUAAGUUUUGGUGACUUUAAUAGUGAAUUAGUGUUUAGGAGGUGAUGUGGUUGGUAACUUUAUUUGUUGAAAAUGUUUAAGUGUUGGUGACUUUAAAAGUGAACUUUUGUUCAGAAGGUGAUGUUGUUGGUUACUUUAUUUGUUUAAAAUGCUUAAGUGCCGGUGACUUUAAUGGUGAAUUAUUUUCGUUGGUGCCUUUGUUAGUUGAAAAAUCUUAAGUUUUGGUGACUUUAAUAGUGAACUAGUGUUUAGGAGGUGAUGUGGUUGGUGACUUUAUUAGUUGAAAAUGUUUUAAGUUUUGAUGACUUUAAAAGUGAACUUUUGUUUAGAAGGUGAUGUUGUUGGUUACUUUAUUUGUUGAAAAUGUUUAAGUGCCGGUGACUUUAAUAGUGAAUUAGUUUCGUUGGUGUAACGUCCCGAGAAUCUAUCCCGAGACAUCACAUGGUGCCCAAGGCCACACUUGGCCUCAAGCUAACCCUCUAAACCUGUCAUCACCUUCUGAACUCUCUACGACAAUAAUCAUCAUAAAGUAGGGAAGAAUAAUUAUGGCAUGAACAUACUGAGAUACAAAGUAAUACGGUUCUGUACAAAUAAAAUACUGAAAUCUCUCUACAUGCUGGCACACUAGUCUGACAAAGCUUCUACUUCAUAGGACGGAGGAGCCAUUGGAAUAGAUCCUCAACUGACUCGUACUGAACUGAAAGUAAACAACCAUCUAUUAACAAGACAAAAUCGGAGACACAGGUCCUCGAACCAUGAGGACUCACCUACCGCAGAAAUAUAGAUGAAGGUACUCAAAAGAUCACUGUCGCUGCUGAGAUUGAGCACCUGAACCUAUAUCAUGAGGAAAUAUAGAAUACAAAAGAGUAUAAGAGUCGGGGUGUGGAUGCAAUAUUUUAAAUAAUAUCAUAAAUGUAUAAGAAAAUCAUGCAUGCUGACAAUAAUAACUCUUUUCGCUUGAAUUAUCUAAAACAUCAUUUUCGUAAGUCAUCAAUAAUAACAUAUGCUUCAUAAAUCUCAUAAAUCAUUUAACUCAACUCAAACUCUUUGAAUCAUGACUUAGAGUGACUCGAGAACCCCACAUUGGCGGGGGUGGUGUACUCUUUCCAGGGAGUACAACCUCAAUCUCAUUAUCACAAUCCCAUACUCGGCCUCUGGCCCACAAUUAUCAACAUCAAUCCUACGGUGGCACGUAGUUUUGGAGAAAUACCACAUUUUCGCCCGGUGCUAAAUACUCCUCCCAGACUCAGCUCAGAACGCGUUAGAAAAUCCACCUUAAUCAAUAUCAACUCAUGAGUCUAUUUUAAAGACAAAAACAUAAAUAUAUAUUUCAUCUGUAAAUCAUAAACAUCUUGUGGAUUCCUAACCCGACUCAACUCAACACAAUCUUUCUCAACAUCAAGUAAAUAUGCUUUUCGAAUCAUUUUCAAAUAUCAAAAGCCUCAAGGGAACAUCAUACGACUCAUUAUUGACUUUCAAUCUCAAAUAUCGAUAUAUAUUAAAUAGUCAAAUUUCUCAUGGAAAGGCAUAACUCAUGACACUUGUCUUAAAUCACUUAGAAAUCAUCAAUACAUAAUGACAAUAUACAACUCAUGGAAUAAAUUCUCUAUUUAAGAAACAAGAUGGAGAGAUAAUCAUAAAUAUGAAACUUAUUCAACUCAAAUCUCAUAAAUCCUAAAUAAAGAAAUUUGGGUGUAAACCCACUUGCAAAAUCAUGUAAAUCAAUAAUAGAAAGUAAAUCUUUAUGCACAAGAACGAAAGGAGUGUUCUUGUUCAAACCCCACAUACCUUGGAUUAUAAUUUUGGAGAUGUAGAAACUCGUUUGGAACUUUUUUCUCACACUUUUAGACCAAUAUUCUUGAUGCCCUUGAUUUGGGCAAGUUAGUUCUCGAACAACUUGGAGAAAUUUAUGGAAGAUCCUUGAAUUUCUUGGAAGAAGAUUGAAUUUUUGGGUUUUUGAAGAAACCCUAAUUUCUAGAUAUUUCUUGAAAGAGUAAAGGAGGAAAAAUGAAUGGCUAUUCU
This 8901-nucleotide long non-coding RNA is filed under the name Capsicum annuum. Its description in RNAcentral is "long non-coding RNA (CANN_LNC005052)". The record is from RNAcentral. Lineage: Eukaryota; Viridiplantae; Streptophyta; Magnoliopsida; Solanales; Solanaceae.